Neurospora tetraspora is the source of this 100-nucleotide non-coding RNA. Lineage: Eukaryota; Fungi; Ascomycota; Sordariomycetes; Sordariales; Sordariaceae. The record is from the annotation of a RefSeq genome assembly.
GCGCGGUUGGCGUAGAGGUUUAACGUACCCGCCUUCCAUUCACGGUCUAGACCCUACAAGGAGGAAGCGGGGGACCCUGGCUCAAGCCCCGGACCGCGCA